AUUGAACGCUGGCGGCAUGCCUUACACAUGCAAGUCGAACGGCAGCACGGGUGCUUGCACCUGGUGGCGAGUGGCGAACGGGUGAGUAAUACAUCGGAACGUACCUUAUCGUGGGGGAUAACGCAGCGAAAGCUGUGCUAAUACCGCAUACGCCUUGAGGGGGAAAGCGGGGGAUCGAAAGACCUCGCGCGAUUAGAGGGGACGAUGCCUGAUUAGCUUGUUGGUGGGGUAAGAGCCCACCAAGGCGACGAUCAGUAGCUGGUCUGAGAGGACGAUCAGCCACACUGGGACUGAGACACGGCCCAGACUCCUACGGGAGGCAGCAGUGGGGAAUUUUGGACAAUGGGGGCAACCCUGAUCCAGCAAUGCCGCGUGAGUGAAGAAGGCCUUCGGGUUGUAAAGCUCUUUUGUCAGGGAAGAAACACCGGCUCUAACACAGUCCGGGAAUGACGGUACCUGAAGAAUAAGCACCGGCUAACUACGUGCCAGCCGCCGCAGUAA
RNAcentral lists this ribosomal RNA (501 nucleotides) under uncultured bacterium. Its description in RNAcentral is "partial 16S ribosomal RNA". It matches the Rfam family "Bacterial small subunit ribosomal RNA", at positions 29 to 523 of the family's 1533-position model. The record is from RNAcentral.